This 99-nucleotide small nucleolar RNA is filed under the name Echinops telfairi (small Madagascar hedgehog). RNAcentral's name for it is "Small nucleolar RNA SNORA17 (ENSETEG00000025174.1)". It matches the Rfam family "Small nucleolar RNA SNORA17", at positions 33 to 132 of the family's 132-position model. Rfam says of the family: snoRNA ACA 17 belongs to the H/ACA family of snoRNAs and is predicted to guide pseudouridylation of the 28S rRNA at positions U4659 and U4598. Lineage: Eukaryota; Metazoa; Chordata; Mammalia; Afrosoricida; Tenrecidae. The record is from RNAcentral.
CCUGCCACAGCUGUGUCAUUAGAGGGCAAAGAGAAGAGGGGCUAUGUCUAGGCUCAGGGGUCUGACGUGAACCACCUGACUGACUGCUAGCCCCACAGU